This is an RNA transcript of Erigeron canadensis, 2471 nucleotides long. It is a transcript of the gene named U11/U12 small nuclear ribonucleoprotein 48 kDa protein, with no coding region annotated. Lineage: Eukaryota; Viridiplantae; Streptophyta; Magnoliopsida; Asterales; Asteraceae. The transcript is spliced from 6 exons. The record is from RefSeq and is a predicted model, not a curated record.
AUGGAUUCAGCAUCUCCUGCGUUCACCUUUCUCCCUCCUCCUCCCCCUCCCCCUCCCCCUCCAAACCCAAAUCCAAACCCUAGAAUCACCAAUUCCCAACCUCCGAAUCUCCAAACCACACUCUCAUCCCUAAAACACCUCAUCCAUCUCUCCGAAUCCACCCUCCAUUCCCUCUCUGCCCAAUUCCUCCCAUUUCCAAUUCCCCCACCCAAUUCCAAUUCCAAUUCCAAAUCCUUCGUCCCCUGUCAGUUCAAUCCCAACCACCAUCUCCCGCCCUCUUCCCUCUUUCACCACCAUCUCAUUUGCCCCGAUUCCCCUUCCCCAAUCUCCCCUCAAAACGACGUCGUUUCCCUUCCCUUAAAUCACCCUCCCACCAUUCCAAACACAAACACAAACACCAACCAAAACGACGUCGUUUCCAUUCCCCUAAAUCACCCUCCCACUAUUCCAAACACAAACCCUAACCAAAACGACGUCGUUUCCAUUUCCUUAAACCCUCACCACACCUCACUUGCUCCCAACUUUUUCUAUUUAAACUCCCCUGCUGUCGUUACAUUUCCGAUUCGCGAUAACACGAGUGAAAAUAGUAAUUUUACAUUUCCUGUUGUUUUAUUUAAUGAAUGUGAAAAUACUAAUGAUGAUAUUAUUACAGAUAUUGAUAUUAUGCUGUGUAGAUUACUUGCUUCUGAAUGUUUUAAUGUUAGAAUAGAAAUAUUUAGAUGGAAGGAUUACCCGAGCUUUUAUUCUUACGCCGUUUUGCGUACAAUUUUAAGUUGUUACGUUUUAGGAAACGAGGAGUUGAAGGAAUGGAUUUUAGUUAAUUCACCUUUUUACGGUGUUGUGGUUGAUGCGUUUAUGAGGGAUCAUAUUUUUGUAUUGUUUAAGGUUUGCUUGAAAGCUAUUGCUAGGGAAGCUAGUAAGUAUUUAAUGUCGGUUUUGAAAGGGGUCGGGACGGGUGGGAGUUAUCGGUUUGAGUGUCCGGUUUUGGUGAAAGUGAUGAUGUGGUUAGGUGAACAGUUUGGUGUGUUGUAUGGGGAAGUGAACGGGAAGUUGUUUGCGGUUAAUAUGUUGAAGCAAUCGUUAAUUAUUGCUUCGUCGGGAUCUUUGUUUAAUUUUGGUGAGGACAGGGUCGGGGAAUCCGUUAGGUUGACUGAGGAAAAAGAUGGAAGUGGAACGACGGUGGUUUUGGUUUCACAGGUAGCGGCGGCUGUUGCUGCAUUGUAUCAACGUGCGGCUUUGGAGACAAGAAUCAAAGGGAUACGGGCUUCACGGUUUGUUCCGGCUUAUCAAAGAGUGCAAGAACACGCAUAUAUAUCAAAAAUGGCCGAAGAAGAGCGCAAAAAACGUCCAAAUUAUAGACCUAUAAUCGAACAUGACGGUGUACUUUGGAAUCGUGGAGGUAACCAGGAUUCGAAUAAAAAUAAGUCACGAGAGGAAUUGUUAGCUGAAGAAAGGGAUUACAAAAGGCGAAGAAUGUCAUAUCGUGGCAAAAAAAUGAAAAGAAGUACUACUCAGGUCAUGAGAGAUAUAAUUGACGAAUACAUGCAAGAAAUCAAGUGUGCAAACAUGGGUGGUCAGCCUCUGGUAGAGUCCACAAGCGUUGCAUCAGAACCUUCUGCCAUGAGUGAUGUGCAUGCAGAUAAAUAUGAAAACAAUCAUAUUCGUGACAAAAUUAGCCGAAGAGGACCAAAACAAACUUCUGAUAUCAGUAUGAGAUCCGAAAGAUCUGAGGACGUGAUCAAAGAAAAAGGUGACAAGCAGAGACAUGAUGAACAACAUGAAGAAUAUUUUUCCAAGAAAACCAAUGGGCGUAGAAGUAGUAGCCGUUCUCAUGAUCAUAGACAACAAGACAAGCAGAGACACUCCAGAAAAAGCUACGUUUCAAACCCUGAUAGCGAUCAUGGCAGGUCACAUGUUAAUAGCCGAAGGAGUGAGCACAAGAACAUGAGAUCAUCUUCCAAUGUAACCAUUGAAUUUGAGGACAGAUAUCAUCCUUCUAAAUCGCAUGACGUUGAUGAUGAUGAUCUCUAACCGAUAGCUAGUAUGAUUAACCAAUCUGUCCUGCCAUUGUUGUUCUGGUGAGUAUGUAGGGGCUUCAAAUUCUAGAAAGAGUAGGAAGGUAUCCAGGCUUCAGCAGUUUCAAAAAUCUGUGAAAAUGAGCUGGUUUGUGCUGCUAGAAAAGUAUAAGAGUAAUAUGCAAUAGCGAGGAGUUGAAAUGACUUCGUAAUGUUUUCGAUGUUUUCUAUAUUUCGUUGUAGCUGAGUAGAUCCUUGGAACUUAUACUGCCUAAUUGCCUAUUAAUUAUCUGUGAAAUAACAUGUUCAGUUUGAGAAUUUUCUUACGGUGUGUAAUAAUUGAGUACUUGUAUGUAUAUAUAUAAGAAAUAUGGAUAGUUUUGCUUUUGGGAAGUGAUACUGGAUUACUGGUACCGUGAAUAUUGUUUUUAAUUUUAUUUUUGUUUCAAGGGUAAA